GAUGAACGCUGGCGGCGUGCCUAAUACAUGCAAGUCGAGCGAACGGACGAGAAUCUCGCUUUUCUGAUGUUAGCGGCGGACGGGUGAGUAACACGUGGCUAACCUACCUAUAAGACUGACAUAACUUCGGGAAACCGGAGCUAAUACCGGAUAAUAUUUUGAACCGCAUGGUUCAUAAGUGCAAGACGUUCUUGCUGUCACUUAUAGAUGGAUCCGCGCUGCAUUAGCUAGUUGGUAAGGUAACGGCUUACCAAGGCAACGAUGCAUAGCCGAUCUGAGAGAGUGAUCGGCCACACUGGAACUGAGACACGGUCCAGACUCCUACGGGAGGCAGCAGUAGGGAAUCUUGCGCAAUGGGCGAAAGCCUGACGGAGCAACGCCGCGUGAGUGAUGAAGGUCUUCGGAUCGUAAAACUCUGUUAUUAGGGAAGAACAUAUGUAUAAGUAACUGUGCACGUCUUGACGGUACCUAAUCAGAAAGCCACGGCUAACUACGUG
Molecule: ribosomal RNA, 497 nt
Filed under: uncultured bacterium
Lineage: Bacteria
Description: partial 16S ribosomal RNA
Rfam family: Bacterial small subunit ribosomal RNA
Source: RNAcentral